AUAGCGUAUAUUAAAGUUGUUGUGGUUAAAAAGCUCGUAGUUGAACCUUGGGCCUGGCUGGCCGGUCCGCCUCACCGCGUGUACUGGUCCGGCCGGGCCUUUCCCUCUGUGGAACCCCAUGCCCUUCACUGGGUGUGGCGGGGAAACAGGACUUUUACUUUGAAAAAAUUAGAGUGUUCAAAGCAGGCAUUGGCUCGGAUACAUUAGCAUGGAAUAAUAGAAUAGGACGUGUGGCUCUAUUUUGUUGGUUUCUAGGACCACCGUAAUGAUUAAUAGGGAUAGUCGGGGGCAUCAGUAUUCAAUCGUCAGAGGUGAAAUUCUUGGAUCGAUUGAAGACUAACUACUG
RNAcentral lists this ribosomal RNA (346 nucleotides) under uncultured eukaryote. RNAcentral's name for it is "SSU rRNA". It matches the Rfam family "Eukaryotic small subunit ribosomal RNA", at positions 594 to 945 of the family's 1831-position model. The record is from RNAcentral.